GGCAGUGUGGCAUAGUGGAAAAGGCAUUCCUCUUGAAACGGAAACCCUGGCUUCAACUCCCAGCUCUGCCA
RNAcentral lists this transfer RNA (71 nucleotides) under Ovis aries (sheep). It matches the Rfam family "tRNA". From Rfam's summary of the family: Transfer RNA (tRNA) molecules are approximately 80 nucleotides in length. Their secondary structure includes four short double-helical elements and three loops (D, anti-codon, and T loops). The record is from Rfam by way of RNAcentral. Lineage: Eukaryota; Metazoa; Chordata; Mammalia; Artiodactyla; Bovidae.